RNAcentral lists this ribosomal RNA (690 nucleotides) under Flavobacterium sp. B150_2. RNAcentral describes it as "bacterial SSU rRNA". It matches the Rfam family "Bacterial small subunit ribosomal RNA", at positions 70 to 761 of the family's 1533-position model. Lineage: Bacteria; Pseudomonadati; Bacteroidota; Flavobacteriia; Flavobacteriales; Flavobacteriaceae. The record is from RNAcentral.
UAUGCUUCUUCGGGAGCAGAGACCGGCGCACGGGUGCGUAACGCGUAUGCAAUCUACCUUUCACAGAGGGAUAGCCCAGAGAAAUUUGGAUUAAUACCUCAUAGUAUAGCAGUUUCGCAUGAAACCACUAUUAAAGUCACAACGGUGAAAGAUGAGCAUGCGUCCCAUUAGCUAGUUGGUAAGGUAACGGCUUACCAAGGCAACGAUGGGUAGGGGUCCUGAGAGGGAGAUCCCCCACACUGGUACUGAGACACGGACCAGACUCCUACGGGAGGCAGCAGUGAGGAAUAUUGGACAAUGGGCGCAAGCCUGAUCCAGCCAUGCCGCGUGCAGGAUGACGGUCCUAUGGAUUGUAAACUGCUUUUAUACGAGAAGAAACCCUCCGACGUGUCGGAGCUUGACGGUAUCGUAAGAAUAAGGAUCGGCUAACUCCGUGCCAGCAGCCGCGGUAAUACGGAGGAUCCAAGCGUUAUCCGGAAUCAUUGGGUUUAAAGGGUCCGUAGGCGGUCAGGUAAGUCAGUGGUGAAAGCCCAUCGCUCAACGGUGGAACGGCCAUUGAUACUGUCUGACUUGAAUUAUUAGGAAGUAACUAGAAUAUGUAGUGUAGCGGUGAAAUGCUUAGAGAUUACAUGGAAUACCAAUUGCGAAGGCAGGUUACUACUAAUGGAUUGACGCUGAUGGACGAAAGCG